This 510-nucleotide ribosomal RNA is filed under the name uncultured bacterium. Its description in RNAcentral is "bacterial SSU rRNA". It matches the Rfam family "Bacterial small subunit ribosomal RNA", at positions 353 to 852 of the family's 1533-position model. The record is from RNAcentral.
AGUGGGGAAUAUUGCGCAAUGGGCGAAAGCCUGACGCAGCGACGCCGCGUGGGGGAGGAAGGCCUUAGGGUUGUAAACCCCUGUCAGAUGGGACGAACCGUAUAUCGGCGAAUAGCUGAUAUGCCUGACGGUACCAUCAGAGGAAGCUCCGGCUAACUCCGUGCCAGCAGCCGCGGUAAUACGGGGGGAGCAAGCGUUGUUCGGAAUUACUGGGCGUAAAGGGCGCGUAGGCGGCCUGGUCAGUCGAGUGUGAAAUGCCGGGGCUCAACCCCGCGCACUGCAUUCGAUACUGCCUGGCUAGAGAAAGGUAGAGGCGAGCGGAAUUCCCGGUGUAGCGGUGGAAUGCGUAGAUAUCGGGAAGAACACCUGUGGCGAAGGCGGCUCGCUGGGCCUUUUCUGACGCUGAAGCGCGAAAGCGUGGGGAGCAAACAGGAUUAGAUACCCUGGUAGUCCACGCCGUAAACGCUGGGUACUAGGUGUCGGGAGGCUUGGCCCUCUCGGUGUCGACGC